This is a long non-coding RNA of Carcharodon carcharias (great white shark), 556 nucleotides long. RefSeq lists it as uncharacterized. Lineage: Eukaryota; Metazoa; Chordata; Chondrichthyes; Lamniformes; Lamnidae. The transcript is spliced from 3 exons. The record is from RefSeq and is a predicted model, not a curated record.
CAUUUUACCAGAUUUGGGAGCCCAUACAGGAAGCAUUGCGUGAAGAACUGCCUGAUAGAUGACUCAAAUCUGUCUUUUACUAGCCUGAUUGUUGCUCUGGAUUGGUUGGACAUACUGAGUGUCCUGUCUGUGAAGAGGCCAAAUUCUUCCACUUCAAAGCCAUUUUAACACAAUUAGGGGAUACAAGGGUAUAUUUUCUGCAAUGAAAACAAAUUUUGCUGAUUUUCAUCGGAGUCAACUUCCAGGAUUUUAUGGAGUCAGACCUAAUGACAGUCUUGUGAUAAGCUCUGACUAGUAUUGAGUGUGCCAAAGGAAAUUACACAAGUCAGCAGUCCUUAAAAUGCUACAGCCAAUGUUUAAAGUGAUGCAACUACAUGAAGGCCAGCCCACCAGAAUAGUCACCUCCAACCUUCUAGGUCAUCCAUCCACGUCAACUGGAAAGUACGCUGACGUGUUUCACAGCAGCAUAUAAAAGGCAUGCACUUGGCGGGCUGCACUUUGAGGGGAACUCGGAGGUGAGUACACAGCAAUGACGUGCAGCGCUUGCCAGGUUCGC